This 3543-nucleotide long non-coding RNA is filed under the name Homo sapiens (human). RNAcentral's name for it is "HSALNT0139053". The record is from RNAcentral. Lineage: Eukaryota; Metazoa; Chordata; Mammalia; Primates; Hominidae.
UAUCUCCUUUGGGGCUGAGAGUCCAGAGGUCUCUGGAAGCUUAUUUAUUUCACUGGCAACAUGCUCCUCUGUCAGUUUUUUAUUUGGUGGUGCAGUUCAUUCUUUAUUCCAGUAGGUGUCACUUAAGAGUAAGAGCCAGCUUUCCCUUAGGUAACCCAGUAAGGAGUGGAGGCUUCCACCCUAACGGGGAGUGAUGGGGAAAGAGAUGGCCUUGGGAUGGGCUGAGGUCUUGAGGGAAGGGGCACCAGCUCCUCAUCCUGCAUGCCUUAUUUAUUAAGAACCCAAUUAGCAUCUGAGAAUUGUUGCCACGAGUCAGGUGACCAGAUGCCUUAAGAAUAUCUGUUCUCUUACCUUGCUGCUUCUUCCAUUUGGGCUUUACCUCUUCUUUCCCACUCCUCCAUCCACGGUGGAAAAAAAGAAAAAGAAAGAAAGAAAGAAGGAAGGAAGGAAGGAAGGAAGGAAGGAAGGAAGGAAGGAAGGAAGGAAGGAAGGAAGGAAGAAAGAAAGAAAGAAAGAAAGAAAGUGAAAGAAAGAAAGGAAAGAAAGAAAAAGAAAAGAAAAGAGGCGCCAUGAGCUUGUCACCUUCUCUAAUGGAGGAAGAGGUCAAUGGCGAACAUUUUCUACACUUUAAUGGCAGCAUAACAAAGAAGACAUCUAAGGAAUUUUACUCAUCAGUGUGGAGUAAUGGGCAGGCGUAUUGAAAUGGUCUCUGGAGUAAUGAGCAGGCAUAUUGAAAUGGUCUCUUUUUAUUUUUUUAAUAUGAACACUCAACUUGUGCCUUUUUUUCUUUCUUGUCUUUGUAAAUAUAGAUACUUGCAGGGGCCUUCCUUUUUGCUAUUUCCCUCCCAUUUUCCCCUUCACACUAUCUUCUUUCCUUAGUUUUUCCUUCUUUCUAUUCUGGGAAAUGAGGAUUUGACAAAUGAAAUAUGAAAAUAUAGUUUUUGAAGAAAGAACAACUGUUCUUCUUCAACCAAGAAUAAAUCAAGUUUUCGGUUUGGGGGUUGGCAGGGGGUUAGCUGACCAUGUAAUGCUGAUGGGCAAGGUCAGGGGGAGACUAACCCUGGAGAGUUGCCCCUGAGAGAGAAACCACUUCUCAGUGGCCACAUGAUGAGUAAGUAAGGGAAACUCCUCAGGUUCCCAGAAGUCUAUCUGAGCACAGCACUCAUCAGCCAAAAGCCCUUUGGUGAGUAGCAGUAUGGCUUCACUCUCUUCUAUAGACGGUGACUAGAUCUUCUCUCUCUCUCACUCUUUCUCUCUCUCUCCCCCGCCCUCUACUGCUUUUCUUUUUUAAAUUUUCUUUCUCUCUGACCUAAACUGAUGCCUAGGUGAAAGCUUGACUCUCUUGUACCACAUUUAUUCUGCUAUCUCAUACUUUUAGUCAUAAAGUCACCUUUGUGUGGUGUUCAGCAGAAAAACAGCAAGAUUGAUCCAAGUAAAUUAGAAUGUCCAGAGUUCACUGCUGAGAAAUUUAAAUUAUUACUUUCAUAUAGAGUUAAAAGAAUAAACUGCUGAGGAACUUUGACAUCUCUUCUUAUGUAAUUUUUUCAACAUUAGAAAGUGAACUUGUACAUGAAAGUAUAAAUUCGACAACUCCCAGACUUCCUUUAACUCUAUGAUUUCAUGGACACGGAUUUGAUAUGGACAGGAGGCAGGGAAAUCCUGGGUAGAAGUGGGCAGGGUCCCUGGCGAGGGUUCCACCUCAAGACCCUAAAUGAGAACUUCACACCCCUGUUUUCCUGCCCAAAGGUUGCCUUUGGACCCUCCACAUACCCCACCCUGUAAACAUACAAACCCCAAGUUCCACUGGCAGAGAAGCAGAGUAGCAUGGCAGAGAAGGAGAGAAGAGAAGAAGCAUAUGAAUAUUGAAAGGAGAAGAGGCAACUUAACACCAGAGACUACAGUCAGAAAGGAGUUCCUCCAGGGAUGGUCAGAGAAGAUUUCGUCCAGGGAUGGCUGAACUCCAGGGGAAGAUUAUCUUCCCACUCCAUCCCCUUUCCAGCUCCCCAACCUGCUGAGAGCCACUUCCACAGCUCAAUAAAUCUCUGCAUUCACCAUCUUUCAGGUUCAUGUGACCUGAUUCUUCCUGGAUGCUAGACAAGAACCCGGUUACCAGAGGGCAUGGAGUGAAAGGAUGUCACCCUAGCCCUCCACUCAACUGGUUAACACUUAGCUGUCCAUAGACAGAAAAUGCUAAAAAGCAUUGUUUGUAACACUUGCCUUCUGGGGCUUCAGAGGUCAUGUGCAACCCCUGGAUGCUGCCACAGGCUGGUACAAGGUAUGUUUCUGCUGUCGCCCGAAGGCAUUCGCCCCAGCUCCUCCACCUGCUCAACUGUAUGCUCACCCUUCCACAAGGGGUUUGAGCCACCGCUGUCUCAAGUCCCUCAAGGGCGUCAAGGGAACUCUCACAUCUCAGAUUCUAAAUUAAUACCACUCAACAGAAAAUUUCAACAAUAUAGGAUUCAUCUACCAUGAAGCAUGUAUCUGUAAUGAAUAUGAAAUAGUUGAGAUUGCCUGAGUGGCCACUUUCUCACAUGCUUCCAAAAAAUUUUGUAUGCUUUUAAACUUCAAAAUAAUUAUGAUGCUACUUCCUCAUUUUUCUAGCAAAUUCUUGGAUGAUAUUUAUGUCCUUUUACAUUUGAAAGUUAUAACCACAGACUUGAGAUAAACGAAUAAGAUAGUGCAUCUAGUUGUAAGCCUAUAUAAAAGUACAUUAUAAACGACAGGGAAGAUAUUUGAGUAGAUAAGGGCAAGCCUGGAAAGAAGGACAUUUAAGCUUUCAUCCCAAUUUGACCAUCAAUUAUAGAGACAUACGCAACUUUGAAAUUGCUUUCCUUGAUAGUGAAAUAAUAGAUACACUGCAAAUGUCUAUAUAUUUGACAUAUUAUUUAAUUUAUAAAAUAUCUUUUGAUAUCUUUGAAACUGAUCAUUAAAAUAUGAAGUUGUAACUCAAAUGUUGUAAUUUUCUUUCACUUUAAUAUAUACUGUCUUGUUCCAGACACUGUGUUUGUUAUAAAAGUCUUUAUUAUACAAUUGUUAAAUAAUUACUUUUAUAAAUGGUCUCUCAUUUAUUCCUGAAAUGCAGGUAUUUUUCUCCUUUUUGUAUUAUUGACGAGGAGACUAGGGCUUAGAGUCAGACUAGUUACUGUUGUGGGUUGAAUUGUGACCUCAAAGAGAUACAUUGAAAUCUUAAUCUCUGGUACCUGUGAAUUGAAACUUAUUUGAAAGUAGGACCUUUGAAGAUGUGAUCAUAUAAGAAUGUGGUUAUUCUGGAUUCUUUUGGGCUCUGAUCCAAUACCACCAAGGUCCUUAUAAGAAGUGAAGAAGCACAGAUACACACACAUGAGCGCGCACACACACACACACACGAGUCUACUAUGUGAAGAUGGAGCCAAAGAUUGGAGUGAUGAGCCUACAAGUAAAGGGACAUUAAGGAUUUCCAACAACUACCAGAAACUAGGAAGGAGACAUGAAACUGAUUCUCCCUCAGGGCCUUCAGAAGGAGCUGACACAGCUAACACUUUGAUUUCAGACUUUAGUCUCCAG